This 270-nucleotide ribosomal RNA is filed under the name Arthrobacter sp. RNAcentral describes it as "partial 16S ribosomal RNA". It matches the Rfam family "Bacterial small subunit ribosomal RNA", at positions 516 to 785 of the family's 1533-position model. The record is from RNAcentral. Lineage: Bacteria; Bacillati; Actinomycetota; Actinomycetes; Micrococcales; Micrococcaceae.
CGCGGUAAUACGUAGGGCGCAAGCGUUAUCCGGAAUUAUUGGGCGUAAAGAGCUCGUAGGCGGUUUGUCGCGUCUGCCGUGAAAGUCCGGGGCUCAACUCCGGAUCUGCGGUGGGUACGGGCAGACUAGAGUGAUGUAGGGGAGACUGGAAUUCCUGGUGUAGCGGUGAAAUGCGCAGAUAUCAGGAGGAACACCGAUGGCGAAGGCAGGUCUCUGGGCAUUAACUGACGCUGAGGAGCGAAAGCAUGGGGAGCGAACAGGAUUAGAUAC